RNAcentral lists this ribosomal RNA (565 nucleotides) under Scytalidium lignicola. Its description in RNAcentral is "eukaryotic LSU rRNA". The stretch from base 202 to 355 matches the Rfam family "5.8S ribosomal RNA". Lineage: Eukaryota; Fungi; Ascomycota; Leotiomycetes. The record is from RNAcentral.
AGGGAUCAUUACCGAGUUCGUGCCCCGCUGCGGGGUAGAUCUCCCACCCUUGUGUAUCUUCGUACCUUUUCGUUGCUUUGGCGGGCCGCUCAGGCUUCGGCCUGGCCACCGGCUCCCCUGAAGGGGGCGGGUGCGCGCCUGCCAGAGGACCCCUCCAACUCUGUUUGUCAGUGUCGUCUGAGUACUAUAACCAAUCGUUAAAACUUUCAACAACGGAUCUCUUGGUUCUGGCAUCGAUGAAGAACGCAGCGAAAUGCGAUAAGUAAUGUGAAUUGCAGAAUUCAGUGAAUCAUCGAAUCUUUGAACGCACAUUGCGCCCCUUGGUAUUCCGAGGGGCAUGCCUGUUCGAGCGUCAUUUCAACCCCUCAAGCUCUGCUUGGUGUUGGGCCGCGCUGCUGCUCCGGCGGCGGGCCCUAAAAUCAGUUGGCGGUGCCGUCGCGGCUCCAAGCGUAGUAGCAAACCUCUCGCUCUGGAGACCCGGCGGUUGCCUGCCAGACAACCCCCCCCCGAAUUUUAUUCUCUCACGGUUGACCUCGGAUCAGGUAGGGAUACCCGCUGAACUUAA